AUUGAACGCUGGCGGAAUGCUUUACACAUGCAAGUCGAACGGCAGCACGGACUUCGGUCUGGUGGCGAGUGGCGAACGGGUGAGUAAUACAUCGGAACGUGCCCAGUCGUGGGGGAUAACGUAGCGAAAGCUACGCUAAUACCGCAUACGAUCUACGGAUGAAAGCGGGGGAUCGCAAGACCUCGCGCGAUUGGAGCGGCCGAUGGCAGAUUAGGUAGUUGGUAGGGUGAAGGCCUACCAAGCCGACGAUCUGUAGCUGGUCUGAGAGGAUGAUCAGCCACACUGGGACUGAGACACGGCCCAGACACCUACGGGAGGCAGCAGCGGGGAAUUUUGGACAAUGGACGCAAGUCUGAUCCAGCCAUUCCGCGUGCAGGAUGAAGGCCCUCGGGUUGUAAACUGCUUUUGUACAGAACGAAAAGGCUCUGGUUAAUACCUGGGGCUCAUGACGGUACAGUAAGAAUAAGCACCGGCUAACUACGUGCCAGCCGCCGCGGUAA
RNAcentral lists this ribosomal RNA (500 nucleotides) under uncultured bacterium. RNAcentral's name for it is "partial 16S ribosomal RNA". It matches the Rfam family "Bacterial small subunit ribosomal RNA", at positions 30 to 523 of the family's 1533-position model. The record is from RNAcentral.